GUGCUCGCUUUGGCAGCACAAAUACUAAAAUUGGAACGAUACAGAGAAGAUUAGCAUGGCCCCUGUGUGAGGAUGAUACACAAAUUUGUGAAGCGUUCCAUAUUUUU
RNAcentral lists this small nuclear RNA (107 nucleotides) under Microcebus murinus (gray mouse lemur). The record is from RNAcentral. Lineage: Eukaryota; Metazoa; Chordata; Mammalia; Primates; Cheirogaleidae.